UACGUAGGGGGCAAGCGUUGUCCGGAUUUAUUGGGCGUAAAGAGCGUGUAGGCGGCUAGAUAGGUCCGUUGUGAAAACUCGAGGCUCAACCUCGAGACGUCGAUGGAAACCAUCUGGCUAGAGUCCGGAAGAGGAGAGUGGAAUUCCUGGUGUAGCGGUGAAAUGCGCAGAUAUCAGGAAGAACACCCGUGGCGAAGGCGGCUCUCUGGGCCUUACCUGACGCUGAGGCGCGAAAGCUAGGGGAGCGAACAGG
RNAcentral lists this ribosomal RNA (253 nucleotides) under uncultured bacterium. RNAcentral's name for it is "partial 16S ribosomal RNA". It matches the Rfam family "Bacterial small subunit ribosomal RNA", at positions 524 to 776 of the family's 1533-position model. The record is from RNAcentral.